Molecule: ribosomal RNA, 849 nt
Filed under: uncultured organism
Description: bacterial SSU rRNA
Rfam family: Bacterial small subunit ribosomal RNA
Source: RNAcentral
CAAGUCGAGGGGUAACGAUGGUGCUUGCACCAGGCGACGACCGGCGCACGGGUGAGUAACGCGUAUGCAACCUACCUUUAGCUGGAGGAUAGCCCGGGGAAACCCGGAUUAAUACUCCGUAAUAUCUUUUUGUCUCAUGACAUUUUGAUUAAAGCUCCGGCGGCUAUUGAUGGGCAUGCGUGCCAUUAGCUUGUUGGUGAGGUAACAGCUCACCAAGGCUACGAUGGCUAGGGGGUCUAAAAGGAUGAUCCCCCACACUGGUACUGAGACACGGACCAGACUCCUACGGGAGGCAGCAGUGAGGAAUAUUGGUCAAUGGGUGAUAGCCUGAACCAGCCAUGCCGCGUGCAGGAAGACAGCCCUAGUGGUUGUAAACUGCUUUUGUUCGGGAAGAAACCUCUCUACGUGUAGAGAGUUGACGGUACCGUUCGAAUAAGCAUCGGCUAACUCCGUGCCAGCAGCCGCGGUAAUACGGAGGAUGCAAGCGUUAUCCGGAUUUAUUAGGUUUAAAGGGUGCGUAGGCGGAAUUGUAAGUCAGAGGUGAAAUCCUGCGGCUUAACCGUAGAACUGCCUUUGAUACUACAGUUCUUGAGUACAGACGAAGUAGGCGGAAUGUGUAAUGUAGCGGUGAAAUGCAUAGAUAUUACACAGAACACCAAUUGCGUAAGCAGCUUACUAGACUGUCACUGACGCUGAUGCACGAAAGCGUGGGGAGCGAACAGGAUUAGAUACCCUGGUAGUCCACGCCGUAAACCAUGAUCACUCGUUGUUGGCGAUAAACUGUCAGCGACUGAGCGAAAGCAUUAAGUGAUCCACCUGGGGAGUACGUUCGCAAGAAUGAAACUCAAA